Long non-coding RNA from Manduca sexta (tobacco hornworm), 707 nucleotides. RefSeq lists it as uncharacterized. The transcript is spliced from 3 exons. Lineage: Eukaryota; Metazoa; Arthropoda; Insecta; Lepidoptera; Sphingidae. The record is from RefSeq and is a predicted model, not a curated record.
AUUUUCCGUAUACUUAGACUGGCUAUUUGAUAAUUACAAUGUAUUCGCUCUGAAACUUGAGGUUUUGGACUAUAUUUACAGAUAAGAUAUCUAAAAUUCCUUUCUUGAUUGUUUGCAUUCUCUAUAGCUUGUGCUGUCGGUUCUAACAUCUUAUGUCUGAGGUCGAGGUUAGUGCAUGACGGUGAUUUGCAAAGAGUUUUAAGAUACAUACAUACUAUUUAUGUAGAGCGGACAUUGUGAAGAUUGUAACAAAAAUUUUACGGAAAACGGUUACUUAAUAGAUUAGGUAACCGUUCUUUGCUAAUUAACAGUAGACCGUUAAAUAGCAAAGAACAAAUGUAAAAUACUAUAAAAAUAAUUGAUAAGCGCACAAAAGUGAAAUAAUUCACAAGAAAUUGCACGAUAAAUUAGUUGGGAAUGGAACGGUUUGCCGAGAAGAAUGUCUAGAAUAUCUAAAGAUUCAAAACCCAAGGCAGAAGACACCUCUGACUUUUCGAAGCUACGUGGGAAUCGUUUAUCAAUAAUCUUUCGCUUUAACUGCGAAGAGAUCGAGACUGACUGCGCGUAGACCAGAGGCUGCAAGUACGUGUGUGAUCAAGUGUGUCUGUCUAAGAAUUGGAUAUGCGUCGACGGGUUCUGUUUCUGCAAAGUGACCUCUCUGGACAAGAAUUAUAAAUAGGAUUCAGAAAUAAAACGUAAUGAAUAUA